The sequence is a small nucleolar RNA, 107 nucleotides long. It matches the Rfam family "Plant small nucleolar RNA R71". From Rfam's summary of the family: R71 is a member of the C/D box family of snoRNAs containing the C (UGAUGA) and D (CUGA) box motifs. Multiple nearly identical copies of this snoRNA have been identified in Arabidopsis, and it is thought to function as a 2'-O-ribose methylation guide for 18S ribosomal RNA. The record is from Rfam.
AUACCAUGAUGAGGACAUCUUCUGAGUAACUCCUUAAAUCUCUCACAUGCAUCACAUAAGUUCUCAUCUUCAAGUUAUUGGAAAGAUGUGAUCUCGUUCCUCAACUU